Non-coding RNA from Armillaria luteobubalina, 101 nucleotides. Lineage: Eukaryota; Fungi; Basidiomycota; Agaricomycetes; Agaricales; Physalacriaceae. The record is from the annotation of a GenBank genome assembly.
GGCCUAAUAGCUCAGCUGCUUAGAGCGUCAUCAUGGCAUUGUGCAUUCGCUCGGUGUGUGUGUUGACACGGAAGUCUCGGGUUCGAUCCCCGCCCUGGCCA